CGGCUCUGCCAGCUGAUCGGAGUGAGAAGCCGGUUUGAAGAGUUGAAGGAGUGAGAGAGAGAGAGAGAUAUGGGGAUAGCCCGUGAAGCGACGAGAGAAACGGGGGAACAGGGCGAGCAGGAUAUGCCUUUUUACGUCCCGUGUUAUUUAUUUUAUAACAGUUAAAUCGCACCGGACGGCUCCAAUAGAAAGAUAAGCGACAGCGUGAUGGAGCAUUUGCGAGGCUUUAAGCCACCGAAAGCUCGGGAACUGUCAGAAAAAAUUGACAGAGUUAAGGUGUGGCUGAGAGAUUUUCAAAGGCGUUUGGUAUAGUAGUGUUUUUAAAUUCAGGUGGUUAAGUUUAUACUGUCGUUUUGUAAGCAUGUACGGUUGAUCAGUAUGGCUGCUCCAACAUUUAUUACCAGUCAUGCUUAAUCGGGGUGAUCUUUUUUUCCUUAUGCGUUACAACUCAAUGUGCGCACCUUUUAAAUUGAGUAAGUGCAGGAGCCUAGAUUUUGUCACAUCGUUAAUAGCCUGAUUCGUUUUUUAGGGCAGUGGGUUCCACACGUAUCGUGUCAGGAGACCCUCGAAUGUAAUGGACGUGGCAACUUUACAGUAGCCAACCCCGAUCAAUGUAACGUCAACUAUGCCAUAGGCAACUGGGCGUGGGGAAAACCGUACAUUACGUUUCUUUCAACGCCUAAUAGUCAUCAACUCGACCCUAAAGAGAGAGUUGCGCAUUUCACGCAUUAAAUAUCCGAGGCUGUGGCUGCUGACAAACGCUUCGAUGGGACCAAUCGAUGGAUUUACCUUAAAAAAGUAUACCUCUUCAAAAAAACAAAAGAAUAUUCUUUCGCUGGCGGUGGUUUGAUCAAGCACCUUUUCUACUACGUUGAGGAACCUUGGUGGUUUCCAUGAGUGAGGUUUCACCCAAAGACUCACCCUGAAGAGGUGUGAAGUUUUAGUUUGUGUGUGCAUUCUGGGUGCCUCGUGGCUGACCCACAUCAGUUCUUCACUGGCAAGCUUUAUGUCAUAUGUACCAACUAAAGCUGCCAGCUGAAGAACUGUUGUGGUUGGCUCUUUCCUGCACCUCAAGACCCCUCUCAUCAUGUGAGAUUUCUCUCCGCCUCCAUCCAGGUGACUUGUGAAGCAGAGGGGGAACAACUCCUAGGAAACGUACAGCAUUAUGUCACUAAGAUGGAUGCCACUGAGAUAAAUGUAUUAACAUGCAUGUCAAAGGAUUUUUUGCUUCUACAUUGUAUCUUGAUUAGAUUUGAUUAUAUACAUAGGCCUGAUAGUCUUGAAGGUCAAUGUAAUUUAUAUUGAUUUUACUUAUGUUGUUAAUGUUAUUAAUGUCCAGUAUGAAACAGAAGAGGCAUGUAAUAUUCCAAUGUAUGUUUCACCAACCUUGCAUCAAUGAAAAAUGACAUCAUAUUUUAAUAAAGAAUAUUACACAUCCAAGUCGUGAUUAUUUAUAUUUUUCAUUUUUAUGACUUUAGUAUGAGUCAUUGGUUGUGUUUUGAAUUCACUGAAUACUGAAAUGUUUUUUUGGUAUCACAUAACCAUGGAAAAAGGCAACAGUGAGAUAAGCACAAAUUCCUCUUUGAGGUGUAGUCAGAAACCAACACCCCGCUCACAGGAUAGACUCUAAAAACCACACCAGAAACCAACUCGCCCCGAUAUCACAUUCGUCUUUGUGUUAAAGAUCUCAUAUUGCACCCAAAACACUUUUCUUCCAUUGUUGACAUUGUCAACUGCUGAAAGGAUCAGCUGGUAAUAUUAUCACAAUUGUGAUUAGCAUUCUCAAAAGUGUGGUAGAAAUGAAAUGCACUACCAAAUACAACACGUCAUUACCGAAGAUACUAAAUCAUUGAGCAAUUGAUUAAGAUCAGAAAUAAACUAUGCAUUCAUAUGCAUACAUAACGAUAAUUCUUUUUUUAACCAAAUUGAUAAAUGAUCAAUACUGUAGGUGAAACAGCUAGACUUUCUGUAGCAUUUCUCUCUAUCCAUCUUUCUUUCUUAGCUAUUCUCAUACCGACUUAUAUUUAAAACUAACCACGGCGUGUACUGUAUACCUGAGCAGCAGACCCAACUGCACCCGAGCUGCUCCUCUUUCUAGGCUGUGAUACUGGCUUCAACGGGCAGUGCCCCGAACAGGAAAUGAGAGUGAACAUGUCCCUGUAAAAGCUGCCAGCGAGCCUUGAACAAAGGAAAAGAAUGUUCUAGAGCCUUAGCAAAACCAGAUGCCCCGACGUUCGCUUGUUACAGGGCGCAUGCUCUCGUUUGCACUCACUUGAACUGCUAAACAGACCCGAGAACUAGGCGGAACACCCCCCACCCCCCCAAAAUCUUCCUGUUUCUUAAUCAAUUCCUAUCCUAAGUGACCACAUUUUGUAGGCAGAGAUCCCUGUCUGCAUCUUAAUGGUCUCAUACUCCUUGCCUGUUCCCUUUUUCGUUCUGACAUGCUCGAAUGACCUCUCUUGUAACCCCAGUUACAUGCACAUGAUGAAGCAGGCAGACAGACUGAGAGCUCCUCUGAGACACUCUGCCUCACGGCCUAGUACACUAUCUCUGGGCUACGGCAGCACUGCAGACGUUUUCUGCAGUGAGCGUUCCAGCAGGCCGCCCAGGUCUGAUCCCAGGUCCUUUACCAGGUCAGCGACAUGGUCUGCUCCCAGGUCAAUGAUAUGGUCUGUUCCCAGGUCAGCGACAUGGUCUGCUCCCAGGUCAAUGAUAUGGUCUGUUCC
Long non-coding RNA from Gadus chalcogrammus (walleye pollock), 2726 nucleotides. RefSeq lists it as uncharacterized. Lineage: Eukaryota; Metazoa; Chordata; Actinopteri; Gadiformes; Gadidae. The record is from RefSeq and is a predicted model, not a curated record. The transcript has 3 exons.